UACGUAGGGGGCUAGCGUUGUCCGGAAUCAUUGGGCGUAAAGCGCGUGUAGGCGGUUCGGUAAGUCUGCUGUGAAAGUCGGGGGCUCAACCCUCGAAUGCCGGUGGAUACUGUCGGACUAGAGUGCGGAAGAGGCGAGUGGAAUUCCUGGUGUAGCGGUGAAAUGCGCAGAUAUCAGGAGGAACACCAAUUGCGAAGGCAGCUCGCUGGGACGUUACUGACGCUGAGACGCGAAAGCGUGGGGAGCAAACGGG
RNAcentral lists this ribosomal RNA (253 nucleotides) under uncultured bacterium. RNAcentral describes it as "partial 16S ribosomal RNA". It matches the Rfam family "Bacterial small subunit ribosomal RNA", at positions 524 to 776 of the family's 1533-position model. The record is from RNAcentral.